GGAGCUGUAGUUAAGCUGGUUAUAACGCCGGCCUGUCACGCCGGAGGCCGCCGGUUCGAGUCCGGUCAGCUCCGCCA
RNAcentral lists this transfer RNA (77 nucleotides) under Thermodesulfobacteriota bacterium. Its description in RNAcentral is "tRNA-Asp". It matches the Rfam family "tRNA". From Rfam's summary of the family: Transfer RNA (tRNA) molecules are approximately 80 nucleotides in length. RNAcentral also lists the same sequence under 1 other name. The record is from RNAcentral. Lineage: Bacteria; Pseudomonadati; Thermodesulfobacteriota.